CAAAUUUAGACAGGCAGCUCGUUAAUAUGAGAUAACUUAGAUUGUCUAGUAAUUAAAACAAUCUAAGGCCUGAUGUGCUUUUGAAAUAUACUACUUAACAAACAAACUCAAAUAAUAGAAUAUGAUUUAAUGCACCACCAAUCCUUUUUAACUAACUAAGAAUACAUGGGAAGUUUGCUAACUAAACUACUGUAACAUAAAAACUAUCCAGCUAUACAGUUAUAUGGCAGAAAAUUAAAUGAACUACAGUGUACAGAACAACCUAAGUAACAAUCAGUAACAGGAAACUAUAUCAAGUUUACAACUUCAUCUUCUUCAUGUUUAUAUUCAUGUCUCAAGUUUUAGCUUACAAUAACCAGUUGUGUACCUGAUAUUAGAAACAAAAGAAGAAGAUGAGUGAUCAGCAGGGUAGCAGUAGCAAAAUACAGCAACAACAACAACUCAGCAACACACAGAGAAGCCCAGUAACAAACAAUAGCAGAAACCCAGGAAUAGAUUUGAAAAACCAACGGAAAACCCCAGGACACUCAAUGCAACAGUGCUCAAAACCCAACAGAAAAACCCAGGCAAUAACAGAAAGGCACUAGAAUGAACAGAGCAGUAGUUUUCUGGUUUCAAACACUCAAAGGAGAAGAAUCCUGAAGCUUCAAUGAAACAAACAAACUAACACUGAUUUUCACCAACAAGAGAGACCUCACUUUUCUAGUUUUAUCUCUCAAACUAACUAACCUCUUAAUGCAAAAGUUCAUCCUAUUAUCACUCUAAAUUUCUCUGGAGUUUUUAUGUUAAAAUACCAUCCUAUAUGCUCUGAAAAUAAACUGACCUUCUAUGGUUGAAAGACCAGCCUUUUAUUUUGCUUUUUAGCUAUGAAUUCCUUAGUCAAAAUUCAUUCUAUCUCUCACUCUUCAAUCCUCAGGUCUCCUGAAGACUGGUUUUUCAGCUUCUAUUUAUAUGCAAACUACAGCCCCCCUUUUUAUUCAGAACUUUCACUUUUCAGCCUGUAUAUUCCUUCCCAUGUGCAUCCUCUACCAUUUUAUCAUUAAGCCCUUAAUGUUUCUGAUCUUCCACCUCUCAAGGUAUUUUAAAAAAUGUCAGUUUUUAAUUUUUUAUUAAAAACCUCAUGUUAUUUCUGAUUUCCAACUAGCAAACCCACUGAUUUUAUUUUUGAAUCCCAACGUAUAUGGGCAGCCUAAAUAUUAAUUUCAGGCGUGCCUGACAACAUAUGGUCUUCACUCAACCCUGGAACCAUAUGUUUACUAGUUUAAAGCUACCUCUAUAUAAGCUUAGACUUAAAAACUGAUUUUAGGUUAAAUUUACAGAUUACUUACAACUAUAUCCAAUUCAAACAACCUAACUUCAAAUACUCGUAUGAUUUCAGGCAGAAGGAACAGGGGAAUGAGGCUCAUGCUGAACAUGUGGUAUUCAAAUGAGUCAAUCAGUUCGGUAACGAGGCAAUUGGAUACAUUCAACAACUUUAACUCAAUCACAUAAAAACAGAAAAAAGUUAGAAAUGACAUAACACAAGGAUGAACAAUUCGCGAUUCCCUAGUUUCUUUCAGUGAAUUCAGUUGACGACAUUCAUUUAGUUGACUAUAGGAGCUACAACAGAUAGCUAACAAUUAAUAAACAAAAUAUCUGAAGCAGGUUACCAAAUUAGCUUCAGUGAUUUUACCAGUGAACCUUAAUAUGAACUAAACUAUUCUACGACUCUAAACAGGAUAAACACACAACUCACAAUAACAACCAAUAACAAACAAAUAGAAGCAAGUGACCAAAUAAAGGGUCUUAUGAAGACGGAGAGAAUUGAAAGAAAAAAUAACAGAAAAAUCAAACAAAUUAACUAGAUUUGUAGACAAACACAAAUAGAACUCAAACAAGAACAUAAGGGAAAGAAAAACUUAUCUUGGAUGCUCAAAACAAAACGACCUAGGCUCGAACCGGACUCGAUCAUUUGAGGUCGAACGGACUUUAAUCGAAGUGUUCUCAACUGAGAACACCUCAAUUAAGGUCUAUUAGACCCCAACCCUUUGUUAAUUUGGACAGACCCACAUGGAUUUGAGUUCUAGGGUUCUUGGGGCUCAGAUUAGGGGUUCGAGCUUUUCUGGUUAGAUUCGAACCAAACCAUGCUUGGUUUGGUCAUGAGGGAGGUCGGGGGAUUAACUGGUGUGAAUUUAGGGUUAGUUGGUGUAUGUUGAGGUUUGGCUCGACUCUUCAAAUGAAGAUUCCAGAAGCUAGGGGUUGAUUCAAGCCAAACGCUUUGUGGAUUUGGAUUCAGGGUGGCUAGAUGGUCCUAAGGUGUUAAUUUGGUGGUCAUCGGCAUCGUUUCCGCCGGGUUUCAAGCUUAGGGGUCCAAUGGCGGGUGUAGUGUUUGGGGAGUGUUUGGUUCGUCUCUGAGAGGGACGAUGGAAGGGGGUGCUUU
RNAcentral lists this long non-coding RNA (2419 nucleotides) under Nicotiana benthamiana. RNAcentral's name for it is "long non-coding RNA (NBEN_LNC019524)". Lineage: Eukaryota; Viridiplantae; Streptophyta; Magnoliopsida; Solanales; Solanaceae. The record is from RNAcentral.